This 484-nucleotide ribosomal RNA is filed under the name uncultured bacterium. RNAcentral describes it as "partial 16S ribosomal RNA". It matches the Rfam family "Bacterial small subunit ribosomal RNA", at positions 29 to 507 of the family's 1533-position model. The record is from RNAcentral.
AUUGAACGCUGGCGGCAUGCUUUACACAUGCAAGUCGAACGGCAGCGCGGGCUUCGGCCUGGCGGCGAGUGGCGAACGGGUGAGUAAUACAUCGGAACGUGCCCAGUAGUGGGGGAUAGCUCGGCGAAAGCCGGAUUAAUACCGCAUACGACCUGAGGGUGAAAGCGGGGGAUCUUCGGACCUCGCGCUAUUGGAGCGGCCGAUGGCAGAUUAGCUAGUUGGUGGGGUAAAGGCCUACCAAGGCGAAGAUCUGUAGCUGGUCUGAGAGGACGACCAGCCACACUGGGACUGAGACACGGCCCAGACUCCUACGGGAGGCAGCAGUGGGGAAUUUUGGACAAUGGGCGAAAGCCUGAUCCAGCAAUGCCGCGUGUGUGAUGAAGGCCUUCGGGUUGUAAAGCACUUUUGGCGGGAACGAAAAGGACUGUGCCAAUACCACGGUUCGAUGACGGUACCCGCAGAAUAAGCACCGGCUAACUACGUG